This 253-nucleotide ribosomal RNA is filed under the name uncultured bacterium. Its description in RNAcentral is "partial 16S ribosomal RNA". It matches the Rfam family "Bacterial small subunit ribosomal RNA", at positions 524 to 776 of the family's 1533-position model. The record is from RNAcentral.
UACGUAGGUGGCAAGCGUUGUCCGGAUUUAUUGGGUUUAAAGGGUGCGUAGGCGGUUCUAUAAGUCAGUGGUGAAAUCCGGCAGCUCAACUGUCGAUGUGCCAUUGAUACUGCAGAACUUGAGUACAGACGAGGUAGGCGGAAUUGACGGUGUAGCGGUGAAAUGCGCAGAUAUCAGGAGGAACACCGGUGGCGAAGGCGGGUCUCUGGGCAGUAACUGACGCUGAGGCACGAAAGCGUGGGUAGCAAACAGG